GAGCGGACACUUGCUAUCAGUCUUCCAAUCAACUUCGAGAAGUUUCGCAUUUCGAGAAAUAUUUCAUAAUGGGGCACAUUUCCAACAAAUUUGUAAUAAGUCUUGCUAUAAUCAUGGCGAUCCUGACAACUGUAUACUCCGGAGGAUCAGGCCAUGGGCACACUCAACGUCUAAAGGAUGCCGCCAUUGGGACAAACAGCACAUCGCCGAAAGAGUGCAUUCCUCUGGGCCGAAUUUGCAGCUGUGCAAGCGCCACAUGGAGUCCGUACGGAGAAUGUUGUGGGGGGAAUAAAU
Long non-coding RNA from Folsomia candida, 294 nucleotides. RefSeq lists it as uncharacterized. The transcript has 3 exons. The record is from RefSeq and is a predicted model, not a curated record. NCBI's taxonomy places the organism in Eukaryota, Metazoa, Arthropoda, Collembola, Entomobryomorpha, Isotomidae.